GAGUUUUGAUCCUGGCUCAGGAUGAACGCUAGCUACAGGCUUAACACAUGCAGGUCGAGGGGAAACGAUAUUGGAAGCUUGCUUCCGAUAGGCGUCGACCGGCGUACGGGUGAGUAACGCGUAUCCAACCUGCCCACCACUUGGGGAUAACCUUGCGAAAGUAAGACUAAUACCCAAUGACGUCUCUAGAAGACAUCUGAAAGAGAUUAAAGAUUUAUCGGUGAUGGAUGGGGAUGCGUCUGAUUAGCUUGUUGGCGGGGUAACGGCCCACCAAGGCAACGAUCAGUAGGGGUUCUGAGAGGAAGGUCCCCCACAUUGGAACUGAGACACGGUCCAAACUCCUACGGAGGCAGCA
RNAcentral lists this ribosomal RNA (355 nucleotides) under uncultured bacterium. RNAcentral describes it as "bacterial SSU rRNA". It matches the Rfam family "Bacterial small subunit ribosomal RNA", at positions 9 to 353 of the family's 1533-position model. The record is from RNAcentral.